GAAUAACAUGGAUCUGACUGUGACAUAUGUCACCCCAUUGAUUGCCAGAGUUGAUUCAGCUGAUCUGGCAGGCUAGGUGGGGUGUCCCCUUCCUCCUUCACCACUCCAUGUGGAUCCCUCCUGAAGCUGUGCAUUUGGUGGAAGAGGGUGACAUCUCAGGUAUAGAAGGAGUGUACUGAGGUUUUUGAAUAACAUGU
This 197-nucleotide small nuclear RNA is filed under the name Anolis carolinensis (green anole). Its description in RNAcentral is "7SK RNA". It matches the Rfam family "7SK RNA", at positions 1 to 199 of the family's 331-position model. Rfam says of the family: 7SK was discovered as an abundant small nuclear RNA in the mid-70s but a possible function has only recently been suggested. Two independent studies have found that 7SK RNA binds the CDK9/cyclin T complex (known as elongation factor P-TEFb). P-TEFb activates transcription by phosphorylating the C-terminal domain of RNA polymerase II. Lineage: Eukaryota; Metazoa; Chordata; Lepidosauria; Squamata; Anolidae. The record is from Rfam by way of RNAcentral.